RNAcentral lists this ribosomal RNA (491 nucleotides) under uncultured bacterium. RNAcentral's name for it is "partial 16S ribosomal RNA". It matches the Rfam family "Bacterial small subunit ribosomal RNA", at positions 29 to 506 of the family's 1533-position model. The record is from RNAcentral.
AGUGAACGCUGGCGGUAGGCCUAACACAUGCAAGUCGAACGGCAGCACAGUAAGAGCUUGCUCUUACGGGUGGCGAGUGGCGGACGGGUGAGGAAUACAUCGGAAUCUACUUUUUCGUGGGGGAUAACGUAGGGAAACUUACGCUAAUGCCGCAUACGACCUACGGGUGGAAGCAGGGGAUCUUCGGACCUUGCGCGAUUGAAUGAGCCGAUGUCGGAUUAGCUAGUUGGCGGGGUAAAGGCCCACCAAGGCGACGAUCCGUAGCUGGUCUGAGAGGAUGAUCAGCCACACUGGAACUGAGACACGGUCCAGACUCCUACGGGAGGCAGCAGUGGGGAAUAUUGGACAAUGGGCGCAAGCCUGAUCCAGCCAUACCGCGUGGGUGAAGAAGGCCUUCGGGUUGUAAAGCCCUUUUGUUGGGAAAGAAAAGCAGCAGGUUAAUACCCCGCUGUUCUGACGGUACCCAAAGAAUAAGCACCGGCUAACUUCGU